AGGAAGGAUACCGCUUUUGUCAAAUUGACAGGUCGGGUCAAAGGUCACGUUCAAAAGUUCAGUGGGCGGAGCUUAUGUUGUAGUGGGUUGAGCUUGGUUGUGUAACUGACGCAAUAGCAUAUGGAUUUAAUUAUUUAUUUAAAUAUUUUUUUUUGUCUUCUUCCCCGGGGGGUUGGUUGUGUAACUGCUGCAAUGGUAUUUGUAUUUAAUUAUUUAUUUAUUAUUUUAAAUGAUUGUGGCUUAGGGGGCCUGGGUUGGUUGUGUUAGUGCUGCAAUGGUAUUUGGAUUUAUUUAUUUAUUAUUUUAAAUGCUUAUUUUAAAUGUUUAUUAUUUUAAAAUGAUAUUGAGGAGAGUGCUUAUGAGUGUGUAUUAUUUUAAAAAUGAUAUUGAUGAGAGUGCUUAUGAGCGUGUGUUAUUUGAAUAAGUUAUUAUUAUUAUUAUUUUGUGGUGCGCGGGGCGGGAGUGAGCGUGGCUGGGUUACCUGAUGGAGCGCGAGCGUACGGUGUGCGGUAGCGUGGUAAGGUCCCCGGGCUUCGGAGAAUCAGCAAAGGACUUAUUCACAUACUGGUGCGGUAGCGCGGAAAGGUCCGCACGGCUUUGGAUAAUCCUCGGAGAGAGCGAUGCGGGAGAGCUGAGAGGCGUGCUGCUGCGCGAGUCUGAGAGAAACUGUGAGAGACUGUGGGAUAAAAUGGUAAAGUUGGAGCAAAGAAUGAGAGGAGGAGGUGCAGGGUCUAUCGUCCAAUAAAAACGCUCGGCGCUAGUUUUGACCGUGUGUUUUUUUCCUCACGCAAGCGUUUGUAUCACAUCGGCGUAUGGCGCCAAUUUGUAAAGGUCAUAAGUCGAGACAUACAUCGAGUCUGUCAAUUUGUCCGCCAGUAAAUUCUGCAGGGCCGUGCCACCUAGCCAUCGAGGCGCCCCCCUACCCGGCCACGCGGGCCAUACAUCGAGUCUGACACUUUUGCCCUCCAGUAAAUUCUGUUUAAAGUUUUGUUUUCACAUACGUCCCAAAUUACAGAUAAUUUUCUUACACAGGCACGAGUAGCAUCAUCAAGGCCGUACCACCUGGUCAUACAUCAAGUCUGACAAUUUCCCCGCCAGUAAAUUCUGUUUAUAGUUUUGUUUGUCAUACAUGACCGUGCAGAUAUGGGGUGACAGAGACAAUUAAAUUGUAUUGCGGCGAGCGGGGGGGGCUAUUCCUCCUAGGGCAGAGGCACAAGUAUCUUCGAGGUCUUACCCUUCCUGCCAGCCAAAGAGGUUCAUCCAGGCCUUACCCGAGAGAGAGACUGCGCUGACCGGUCAAGAGAAAAUCUACAAGAGACCUGAAUCAGCAGUGUUAUAAAGCACAUAGCCAACGCUAAUUAAUAAAGAAUUUAAGCAUAAUAGCCCAGACGUACCAUGGCCUAUAGCUGGUAGAAACGGAGCUAUCCUACGGCCUACAAGAUAAAAGCAUAUGGCACCAAAUUGGAAUCAGUAGUCUUUAAAAGAAUAAAUGGACUAGCAACUGUCUCUGGGGGAGCAGCCCCGGUUAGGUACUAUUAAGCAGCAUUUAGUGACAUGCAUCAAAACACAUUUUUUAAAACUUUGACAGAAUAAAGUCUUAGUUAUUUUAAUAAAUACGUUUUUCAGUAAAUGUUUAUUCACGCGCAUGCGGACAAACACACACCCCGGAGGUCAAACUAAAAAAAAGUUGAUACAAACUACAGUUGUAUCGGACACGCACACAAAAACACAAAAGAGUUUGCUCAAUCAAAAAACACCAAACAUAUAUAGUUCACGUUUUUUAUUAAAAUGUAUAAGGAUUGUUUUGAUUUAAAUUAAUAUGAGUGGAAUAUAAGUCAUUUACGCAACAGGAUUUGAGGAAGAACCUAAAUAGCAGCUAGAAAUGACCGACCAGGCAGGCAGAAGUCUGCUUUUCUUAUCUCACAAGUCAUGGAAGGGUGGGAGGGGGGCCACAUAAGUGUGGGGUAGGAACUGUGGAAUCAGGCAGGGGUGUAAGAAUUUAGGAUAUAGUCUUGUUAUUUUAAAGAAGGUGUACAUGAUUAUUUAAUUAUAUUUAAAGAAGGUGUACAUGAUUAUUUAAUUACAUUUAAUAGGAACCAGUAAGCUGCAUUUAGCACCAUGCUGCAAAUACACAUAAAAAAAAACUUUAAAGAAUAAGGUCUUAGUUAUUUUAAUAAAGACAUCCUACAAGGUACCCACGGCCCCAGCUUAUAUAAUCUACAAGCUUGAUCUGAGAUGCUUGCUGGAGUACAAUGCUAAGUUGACAACGGUAACGGAGCUGCAUAUUGUUUGAUAGUUAUGAAACAUAGUUCAAAUUCAACAGUGUCAGCAGUCAUCCACUAUGCAGGGAGACUACAGAUUGACUAUAACGACCCCAUUUAUCUGCUGGAAUUAUUUAAAAAAAAAAAUUGACAUAAUAAAGCCUUAGUUAUUUUAAUAAAUAUGUUUUUUCAGUAAAUGUAUAUUCAUGCUCAUGUGCACAAACACACACACACACACACACACACACACACACACACACACACACACUGGUGGUCAGGGGCUUUAGAGUUUAACUUUAGGUCUGUGAAAGUAUAGGACCGCUAACUUAGUCGUUCAUGAGUCUUAUUGUGAAAAACCACACAAAAUAGACUUGUAAAUUUUAAAGAAAAGACAUUAACAGCUUUUGUUAAUGUUUACAUGUAUAAAAACUUUAGAUGUGUUUGUAAAACAGUCAAACAAAAAUGUGUUAUUUUAAAGUAGUAUAAAAUAUAACCUUAACUUUGGACGCAAGAUGAACAACCUACACACACACACACACACACACACACACACACACACACACACACACACACACACACACACACACACACACACACACACACACACACACAGCAAAACCCCAAGCAUGCGCACAAGCGCACAACCAAAGGUUGGGAAAUGUGCUUUUCCUUAUCUCACAAGUCAUGGAAGGGGGGGAUGGGGGACACAUAAGUGGGGGGUAGGAACUGUGGAAUCAGGCAAGGGCGUAAGAAUUUAGGAUAUAGUCUUGUUAUUUUAAAGAAGGUGUACAUGAUUAUUUAAUUAUAUUUAAUAGCAACCAGUAAGCUGCAUUUACACAUUAAAUGCAAAAACACUUAAAAACUUUAAAGAAUGGUAAUAUAACUUGACCAUAGUUUUUAGUUACACAAAUGUUUUAAAAUGUAACAUGAAAGUUUUUCAAAGUAAGAUGUACAAAUGUUUUAAAAUGUGACAUGAAAGUUUUUCAAAGUAAGAUGUACAAGUAUUUUAAAAUGUAACAUGAAAGUUUUUCAAAGUAA
This is a long non-coding RNA of Brienomyrus brachyistius, 3299 nucleotides long. RefSeq lists it as uncharacterized. NCBI's taxonomy places the organism in Eukaryota, Metazoa, Chordata, Actinopteri, Osteoglossiformes, Mormyridae. The transcript is spliced from 2 exons. The record is from RefSeq and is a predicted model, not a curated record.